Molecule: long non-coding RNA, 349 nt
Organism: Herpailurus yagouaroundi (jaguarundi)
Lineage: Eukaryota; Metazoa; Chordata; Mammalia; Carnivora; Felidae
Exons: 2
Source: RefSeq, a predicted model, not a curated record
GGGAAAAUAACAGGAAAAAAAAUCAUUUCCAUGUCCCCUGCUGUGGCUCAGUGUAUGUAACCUUUGGUGGUCUCUUAAGAAAGCAGAGGUUCUGAAGUAUUUCUUUAAAAUUAAACAGUAAUCUCCAUGGAACAGAACUCGAAUUUAGAACUUUUCAAUCCCUAGAGAAAAUAAAAGAAAUAAAGAAAACUUGACCAAUGCAGCAAGAGUAACUAAAUGAGGGAAUAAAAGAAGAAACAACUAAAAAGAGAUAUAAUAAGUAGAAAACAUAAAUAAGCUAGUAAGAACAAGACCAAAUGCCAGUAAAUCACAGUAAAUGUAAACGGGUUAAAUUCUACUGCAGAGAAUU